RNAcentral lists this long non-coding RNA (24025 nucleotides) under Amborella trichopoda. RNAcentral's name for it is "long non-coding RNA (ATRI_LNC005420)". Lineage: Eukaryota; Viridiplantae; Streptophyta; Magnoliopsida; Amborellales; Amborellaceae. The record is from RNAcentral.
AUGUAUAUAUACUGAUAUGUGUGUACGUGUAAAGGGCAUAGUUGUAUAUAUACAGUGCAUUAUAUGACCCUAAUAUGUACAUUUCUAUAUAUACAUUGAUGUAUAUGACCAUAUAUACACUUAUUAUCAGUUUAUACAGUUAGUAACUUAUAUGUACACUGUUUUAUAUACUACACACACUCACACUCACACUCACACUCACUCACACACAUACUCACAUUCACGCCCACGCCCAUGCCCACGCCCACUCCCACGCUCACGCUCACGCUCACACUCACACUCACACUCACAUUCACAUGCACACUCACACUCGCACUCACUCACAUACACUCACACUUACACACACUUACACACACACACACACUCACACUCACAUUCACACUCAGAUAUUUAUACUACACAUAUAUGCAUGUUGUGUAUGGACUAUUGUGUGUAUAUAUACGAUAUGUAUAUACUGAUAUGUUUAUGCGUGUAUGUAUACAGUUGCUUGUUAUCAGUUGUAUAUAAUUAUCAUUAUAUAUAUACUGAUAUGUGCACACUUAUGCAGCUUUACAACUUGAUAAGUGCAUAUAUAAUGUGUAUGCAUACACUUAUACAUGCAUUCUAUAUACAUUGAUAUAUAUGACCAUAUAGACAUAUAUUAACAGGUUAUCUAUAUAUAUAUAUACAGUGUGUAUAUAUACGAUAUGUAUAUAUUGAUAUGUUUAUGCAUGUAUGUAUAAACUUGCUAUCAGUUAUAUAUACACUGAUAUGCGUACGCACAUGCACCCUUACGCAUUGAUUGCGCAUAUAUACAUUUUUAUGUACGUAUAGACCAUAUAUACACUUUUUAACAGUUUCUAUUGUUAUUAGCGUAGAUGUACAUUGAUAUGUAUAUGAAUGCACAGGUGGCUGUUGCAGCCAAUAAGGUUGAACUUAUCCCUCCCUUUCUUUUUUGAUUAUUUUCCUCUCCAUUCUUUUCAUUCGAAUCAUUAUCUUCCAUGUGAAUGAUUUUUCCGUAUACAAUUUUCCAAACUGUGAUAAAUUCAAGCCUUCAAGGAGAUUAUUUCUUUUGGCUAUCUCCUCUAAUCAGAUAAGCCUUGGUGAAAUUUGAUAUUGCUUUGUAUAGAAUUAGGCAUAAAAAUGGGUUUCUUCUCUUGAUGAAUUGGGUAUGCUAAAUACCCAAUUGUGAUAGUGCAUCUAAAUUUUUUGUCUUAUUUGUACUUGUUUCUAUUAUUAUUGAUGAGCUUCAUCUUCAUCGAGUUUUCUUGUAAAGCAACAAGCAUGAAAGCAACUUAUCAUCGGGGUGGAUCUCUUUACGUUAUUCGAUAUUUGAGAUUUGAUCUUGCAAGCUGGAUUUGAUUAAUGGUUCUUUCUUCACUAGUAUAAUAUUUCUCUUGCUUCUUUCAUGCAAAAAUGAAGUGAAUUUUUUGAAACUUUACUUGUGGUUUGCAAUUUUUUAAGUAACUUUUUCUUAACACACACACACUCUUGCUUAACCCACACACACUCUUGCUUCUUUCAUGCAAAUAUGGAAUGAAUUUUUUGGAGUAUUACUUGUGGUUUUCAAUUUCAUUAAGUAACUUUUUCUUAACACACACACCACAUACACACACACAUUCUCACACACACACACACACUCAUACUCACACUCACACUCACACUCACACACACACACUCACACAUGCUCACGCUCACACACGCUCAUGCUCACACUCACACACUCACUGACACACACUUUCACACCCACACAGUCACACACAUUAACACACACUCACACUCACACUCACACUCACACUCCGAUAUAUAAUGCACUUAUAUGAGUGUUGUGUAUGGACUGAUGUGUGUGUAUAUAUGAUGAUAUGUUUUUGCAUGUAUGUAUAUAAUUGUUUGCUAUCAGUUAUAUACAAUUGUCAAUGUAUGUAUACACUGAUACGUGUAUGUACAUGCACCCUUACGUGUUGAUAAGUGCAUAUAUACUGUGUAUAUUUACACUAAUACAUGCAUGUUAUAUACUCUGAUAUAUAUAACCAUAUAGACACUUCUUAGCACUUUACAUAUAUAUACAAUGUGCAUAUUUACGACAUGUAUAUAUUGAUAUGUUUAUGCGUGUAUCUAUAAACUUCCUAUGAGUUAUAUGUAUAUUGAUAUCUGCAGGCACAUGCACCCUUACGUAUUGAUAAUGCAUAUACAUUUCUAUAUACACUGAUAUAUAUGCCCAUAUGGAUACUUCUUAUCAGUUUAUACAGUUAUUGGUGUUUAUGUACACUGAUAUGUAUAUACUCUCACACUCAUAUGCAUAUGUAUAAUGGGUUUAUAUAUGCACUAAUAUAUAAAGCCCAUGUAUAUACAUACGUAUUAUCUUUGAUAUAUAUACAUUUAUUAGCUCAAUUUGUGUAUGUAUUGAUGUAUAUCAAUAUAUACCAUUCUUUUCAGAGUAUAUAUAUAUAUUGCUGCAUAUAACCAUACAAUACAUUAGUUAUCAGCUAUAUAUGUAGUUAUUAGUGUGCAAAAUUACAUUGAUAUGUGUGUGUGAUGUCUGUAUAUAUACGAUGUGUAUAUACGGAUUUGUGUGAAUGUGUAAAGUGCAUAAAUGUAUAUAUACAGUGCAUUAAUAUAUACAUUUAUAUAUACACUGCAUUAAUAUAUAUAUAUAUACAUUGAUGUAUAUGACCAUAUAUAUUCAUUAUUAGUUUAUACCUUUAUUAACGUAUAUGUAUAUUAAUUUAUAUACUACACACACACGCACUCACACUCACACUCACUCUCAUCCUCACACUCACACUCACACUCACUCACUCAUACACACACACACUCAGACCCACACACUUACACUCGCACUCGCCCUCGCACUGACAUCGACAUCGACAUCGACACCGACACCGACACCGACACCGACACCGACACCGACACCGACACCGACACCGACACCGACACCGACACUCUCACUCUCACUCUCACUCUCACUCUCACUCUCACUCACACUGACAUGCACAUUCACACUCACACUCACUCACACUCACACUCACACUGACAAAUAUAUAUACUAUAACCUGUAAUUUGAUUAGCCUUGGCGAAAUUCCUUAUUACUUUGUAUAGAAUUAAGCAUAAGAAUGGGUUUCUUCUCUUGAUGAAUUGGGUAUGCUAAAUACCCUAUUGUGAUAGUCCAUGUAAAUUUUUUAUCUUAUUUGUACUUGUUUUUAUUAUUAUUGAUGAGCUUCAUCUUCAUUGAGUUUUCUUGUAAAUCAACAAGCAUGAAAGCAAUUUAUCAUCAAGGCGGAUCUCUUUACGUUAGUCGAUAUUUGAGAUCUUAAUCUUGCAAGCUUGAUUUGCUUAAUGGUUCUUUUUCUGUAGUAUAGCACUGCUCUUGCUUCUUUCAUGCAAAUAUGGAGUGAUAUAUUACUGCUUUUGCUUCUUUCACACUCACACUCACACUCACACUGACAGAUAUAUAUACUAUCACCUGUAAUUUGAUUAGCCUUGGCGCAAUUCCUUAUUACUUUGUGUAAAAUUAGGCAUAAGAAUGGGUUUCUUUUCUUGGUGAAUUGGGUAUGCUAAAUACCCUAUUGUGAUAGUCCAUGUAAAUUUUUUAUCUUAUUUGUACUUGUUUUCAUUAUUAUUGAUGAGCUUCAUCUUCAUUGGGUUUUCUUGUAAAUCAACAAGCAUGAAAGUAACUUAUCAUAGAGGUGGAUCUCUUGACGUUAUUCAAUAUUUGAGAUCUUGAUAUUGCAAGCUUGAUCGUCUUGAUGGUUCUUUCUUCUCUAUUAUAGUCUGCUUUUGCUUCUUUCAUGCAAAUAUGGAGUGAAAUUUCUGGAGCUUUACUUGUGGUUUGCAAUUUUAUUAACUUUUUCUUAACACACACUUUUGCUUCAUCCAUACAAAUAUGGAGUGAAUUUUAUGGAGCUUGACUUGUGGUUUGCAAUUUUAUUAACUUUUUCUUUUUACAUACACACCACACACAUACUCACACUCACACUCACACUCACACUCACACUCACACUCACACUCACACUCACACUCACACUAAUGUAUAAGACCAUGUAUAUACUUAUUAUCAGUGAUAUAUGCAGUUAUUAGCUCUAUAUGUUUACGUGUUGAUGUAUAUAAGCAUAGAAUACAUUAGUUAUCGGCUAUAUGUACAGUUACUAGUGUGUAAAAGUACAUUGAUAUGUGUGUGUGAUGUCUGUAUAUAUACGAAGUGUAUGUAUGGAUUUCUGUUUACGUGUAAAUAAUUGUAUUUAUACAAUGCAUUUAAUGUUUAUAUUUCUAUAUACAUUGAUGUAUAUGACUGUAUAUACAUUUAUUAUUAGUUUAUAAAUUUAUUAACGUAUAUGUACACUGUUUUAUAUAGUGUAAUCAAUUGUAUAUAUACAAUGCAUUUAAUGUUUAUAUUUCUAUAUACAUUGAUGUAUAUGACCAUAUAUACACUUAUUAUUAGUUUAUAAAUUUAUUAACGUAUAUGUACACUGAUUUAUAUACUACACACACUCUCACACUCACUCACACUCACACUCGCACAUUUGUUAUCAACUACAUAUAUAGUUAUUAGUGUGUAAAAAUAAUAUUGAUGUGUGUGUGCGAUGCUGUAUAGAUGCGAUGAGUCUAUAUUGAUACGUUUGUGUGUAUAGUGCAUAGUGUGUAAGUUGCAUAAUUGUAUAUAUACAUUUAUUAGUGUGUUAAAAUAUUUACAUUUCUAUAUACAUUGAUUUAUAUGACCAUAUAUAUACUUAUUAUCAGUUUAUACAGUUAGUAACCUAUAUGUUCACUGAUUUAUAUACUACACACAUAUAUAGACACAAACACACACACACACUCAACACUCACACUCACACGGACACUAACAUUGACAUUGACACUGACACAAACAGAUAUGUAUACUACACAUAUGCGUGGUGUGUAUGGACUGAUGUGUGUAUAUUUACGAUAUGUAUAUGCAUAUGUUUUUGCGUAUAUGUAUACAGUUGCUUGCUUUCAGUUAUAUACAAUUAUCGAUGUAUAUAUGCACUGUUAUGCGUACGCACAUGUACCCUAACGCGUGGAUAAGUGCAUAUAUGAUGUGUAUGUAUACACUAAUACAUGCAUUCUAUAUACACUGAUAUAUUUGACCAUAUUGACUAUUAUUAGUAGUUUAUAUGUAUAUACAGUGUGCGUUAAAUAUGUAUUUAUUGAUAUGUUUAUGUAUAUGUAUAACCUUGCUAUCAGUUAUAUAUGCACUAAUAUGCGACACACAUGGGCACCGAUGCACUAAUAUGCGACACACAUGGGCACCCUCACGCAUUGAUAGUGCAUACAUUCAUUUAUGUAUACACUGAUAUAUAUGACCAUAUAUAACACUUAUUAUCAGUUUAUACAGUUAUUAGUGUAUAUGUACAAUGAAAUGUAUAUACGCACAUUCAUAUGCAUAUGUAUAAAGGGUUUAUAUGUACAUUUAUGUAAAAGACCAUGUAUAUACUUAUUAUCAGUGAUAUAUACAGUUAUUCGCUCAAUUUGUGUACGAAUUGAUGUAUAGCAAUAUAGACCAUUGUUUUCAGUAUAUAUGUAUACAUACUGAUGCAUAUAACCAUACAAUACAUUAGUUCUCUGCUAUAUAUAUAGUUAUUAGUGUAUAAAAAAUACAUUGAUAUGUGUGUAUAUAUGCUUGUGUUGUUUGUAUCUAUACACUGUGUAUAUACUGAUAUGUGUAUGUUUAAAGUGCGUAACUGUAUAUAUACAGUACAUUAAUAUAUACAUUAGUAUAUAUGAUGAUAUAUACAGUAUUUAUCAGUUUAUACAGUUAUUAACAUAUAUGUAUACUACACACACACUCGCACUUACUCACCCACACACACACACUGGCACUUACACUCACACUCACACUCAGAUUUAUAUACUGCAGAUAUUUGCAUGUUAUAUAUGGACUGAUAUGUGUGUAUAUGCGAUAUGUAUAUACUAAUAUGUUUAUAAGAGUAUGUAUACAGUUGCUUGCUAUCAGUUAUAUACAAUUAUCAAGGUAUUUAUAAAUACUGAUAUGCGCACGUACAUACACGCUUACGUAUUGGUAGUGCAUACAUACAUUUAUAUAUACACUGAUAUCGAUGAUCAUAUAGACAUUUAUAUCAGUUUAUACAGUUAUUAGUGUAUAUAUACUGACCUCACACACACAUAUAAAUGUAUCUUUUACACGAUAAUAAUUGUAUAUAUAACUAAUAAUUAAUGUAGUGUAUGGUUAUAUGCAUCAGUAUAUAUAUAUUCACUUAAUACAAUGGUAUAUAUUUCUAUAAAUCAAUACGUAUACAAAUUAUGCUAAUAACUGUGCUAAGACCGUGUAUAAUAAGUGUAUACACGGUCUUAUACAUUAGUGUAUUUAGAAAUACUUUAUAAAUGUAGGUACAAAUUCGUAGGGGCGCAUGUGCAUGCACAUAUCAGUGUGUACAACUAAUAGCAAGUGUAUAUAUAUAUAUAUAUAUAUAUAUAUACAUAUAUAUAUAUAGAUAAACUGCUAAUAAGUGUCUUUAUGGUCAUAUAUAUCGGUGUAUAUAAAAUGUAUGUAUUAGUUACACAUACACUGUAUAUAUACACUUAUCAACACGUGAGGGUGUAUGCAUGUAUGCAUAUCAAUAUAUAUAUAUAUAUAUAAUAUUGUAUAUAAUUGAUAACAAGGAAUUAUAUAUAUACACGCAUAAACACAUCAUUAUAUACAUAUCGUAUAAAUGUACACAUCAGUCCCAACACCACAUAUAUAUGUGUAGUGUUAUGCACUGUAUAUAUGUAGUAUUUUAAUGAUCAUAUACAUUGACAAUUGCGUAAAACUGAUAGCAAGCAAGUGUAUAUAUACACGCAUAAACAUAUCGUAUGCAUUAAUCCAUACACAACAUGCAUGUCUGUCCGUGUUGUAUAUAAAUCCAUAUACAUAUAUGAUAUUAAUUAUAUAAACUGAUAAUCAGUGAUAUAUGCGCUGAUAUGUGCACACACAUGCACCCUUAUGCAUUGAUAAGUUCAUACAUACAUUUUUAUAUACACUGAUAUAUAUAACUUUAUACACAUUCGUUAUCAUUUUAUACAGUUAUUAACGUAUAUGUACAUUGAUAUAUAUAUAUACGCAUACUUAUAUGCAUAUAUAUAAAGUGUUUAUUUAUACACUAAUGUAUAAGCUCAUGACUUACUUAGUCUCUGUGAUAUAUAUAGUUAUUAGCACAAUUUGUAUACAUAUUGAUGUAUAGCAAUGUAUAUCAUUAUUUUCAGUGUAUGUACUGAUGCAUAUAACCAUUUUAUACAUUAAUAUUAGCUAUAUAUAUAAUUAUUGUGUAAAAAAUACAUUGAUGUGUAUGUGUAUGUGAUGUUUGUAUAUAUGUACGAUGUGUAUAUACUGAUACGUGUGUGUAAAGUGCAUAACUACAUAUAUAAAGUGCACUUAUAUAAACAUUUCUAUAUACAUUGAUGUAUAUAGCCAUAUAUACAUUUAUUAUCAAUUUAUACAGUUAUUAACGUAUAUGUUCAUUGAUUUACACACAAACACAUAUAAAUAUAUAAAUAUACUACUCAUAUAUACGUGUUGUGUAUGGAAUAAUGUGAGUAUAUAUAUGAUAAGUAUAUACUGAUAUGUUUUGCAUGUACGUAUACACUUGCUUGCAAUCUCUUAUAUACAUAUACUGAUACGCACGUACAUGCACCAUUACGUGUUGAUGUGUGUAUAUAUACACUGAUAUACGCACGUACAUGCACCAUUACGCAUUGAUGUGUGUAUAUAUAUAUCUCUCUAUAUAUAUAUAUAUAUAUUGUGUAUACAUUAAUACAUGCAUUCUAUAUACAUAAAUGGUCUUUUACAUUAGUGUAUGUAUAAACACUUUAUACAUAUCCAUAUAUACAUAUCAGUGUACUCAUACAUUUGAACUUAGCAAUGCAUAAGGGUUCAUUUGCCACAUAUCAACGUAUAUAUAACUGAUAGCAAAUGUAUAUAUACACACAAACAUAUCAGUACAUACAUGUCCUAUAUAUAUACACUAUAUAUAUACUGCUAAUAAGUAUCUAUAUGAUCAUAUAUAUCAGUGUAUAUAGAAUGUAUGCAUUGGUAUACUACAUGCACAAUAUAUAUGCACUUAACAACGCGUGAGGGUGCAUCUGUAUGCGUAUAUCCUGUGUAUAUAUACAUUAAUAACACACAUUUAUGUGUAGUAUAUAUAUAUGUUAUGUGUGUGUAUAAGCUGAUAGUAUGUGUAUGUAUGGUCAUAUACAUGAAUGUGUAUAUGAAUGUAUGUAAUUUGCUCUAUAUUUAUACAGUUAUGCACUUUAUACAUACACAUAUUUCAGUAUAUACACUUCAUGUAUAUAUACAAACAUCACUCACACAUAUCAAUGUAUUUUUUACACACUAACAAGUGUAUAUAUAGCUGAUAACUAAAGUAUUGUAUGGUUAUAUGCAUCAGAAUUUAUAUAUAUAUAUAAAUAUUCUUUGAAAACAAUAGUAUAUGUUUUUAUAAAUCAAUACAUAUACAAAUAGUUCUAAUAACUAUAUAUAUCACUGAUAAUAAGUAUAUUACAUGGUCUUAUACAUUAUUGUACAUAUAUACAUGUGCAUAUCAGUGUGCCUUCAUGUCAGUAGUGUAGAUAUACGCUAAUAACUGUAUGAACUGAUAAUAGGUGCUUAUAUGAUCGUAUAUAGCAUUUAGUGUAUAUUGAAAUGUAUUAUGCACUACCAAUGCAUAAGGGUGCAUAUGCAUGUGCAUAUCAAUGUAUAUAUAACAGAUAGCAGGUAUAUACAUACACACAUAAACAUAUCAGUAUAUACAUAUCUUAGAUAUUACACACUGUAUAUACUUAUAUAAACUGUUAAUAAGUGUCUUUAUGGUCAUAUAUAUCAGUAUAUAUAGACUGCAUGUAUUAGUGUGGACUUACACAAUUUAUAUGCACUUAUCAACGUGUAAGGGUGCAUGUGCGUGCGUAUAUCAAUGUAUAUGUACAUUAAUUAUUGUAUAUAACUGAUAGUAAGCAAUUGUAUGCAUACAUGCAUAAACAUAUCAGUAUAUUCAUAUCGUAAAUAUACAUACAAGAGUAAUAUACACAACACGCAUAUAUGUGUAGUUUAUAUAAAUAUAUAUAUGUAUGUGUAUGUGAGUGGGUGUGUUUAGUAUAUAAAUUAGUGUACAUAUACGCUAAUAACUGUAUAAAUUGAUAAUAAGUAUUUAUAUUAAUCAUAUACAUCAAUGUAUAGAAAUAUAUAUAUUAGUGCAUUGUGUAUAUGCAGUUAUGAACUUUACAUAUGCAUACAUCAAUAUAUAUAUAUCGUAUAUAUGCAGACAUCACAUACACAUAUCAUUGUAUUUUUUACACGUGUAUGUUUAGCUUAUAACUAAUUUAUUGUAUGGUUAUAUGUAUCAAUGUAUAUAUAUACAAUGAAAACAAUGGUAUGUAUUGCUAUUCAUCAAUAUGUACGUAAAUUAUUUUAAUAAUUGUAUAUCACUGAUAAUAAAUAUAUACAUAGUCUUAUAAAUUAGUGUAUUUAUAAACACAUUAUACAUAUGCUUAUGAGUGUGCGUAUAUACAUAUUAGUGUACAUAUACUGAUAAUAAGAGUCUAUAUGGUCAUAUAUAUCAGUUAUAUGGAAAUAUAUGUAUGAACUUAUCAAUGUAUAAGGGUGUAUGUGCGUGCGCAUAUCAGGAUAUAUAUAACUGAUGGCAAGUGUAUACAUAUACUCAUAAACAUAUCAGUAUAUACAUAUCAUAUAUAUAAACACUGUAUUAUAUGUAAAUUGUUGAUAAGUGUCUUUAUAGUCAUAUAUAUCAGUGUACAAGUGUACAUAGAAUGCAUGCAUUACUGUACAGAUACAUACAUACACAUUAUUUGCACACUUAUCAACGCAUAAGGGUUCAUUUACGUACGCAUAUGAGUGUAUAUAUAUACAUUUAUAAAUGUAUAUAACUGAUCGCAAGCAAGUGUAUACAUACAUGCAUAAAAUAUCGUAUAUAUACAUGUCAGUUCAUACACAACAUGCAUAUAUGUGUAAUAUGUAUAUAUAUAUAUGUGUAUAUGUAAAUAUGUGUACAUAUAUGCAAAAACCUGUAUAGACUGGUCAUAAGUGUAUUUAUAGUCGUAUACACUUGCUAUCAGUUAUAUAUGCGCACGCACAUGCACCUUUACGCAUUGGUAACUUUAUAUACACAUUUCUAUAUUUAGUGAUAUAUAUUUCCAAAUAGACACUUUUAUCAAUGUAUACAGUUAUUAACGUAUAUGUACAUUGAUAUGUAUAUACUACAUUCAUAUGCAUUUGUAUAAAGUGUUUAUAUAUACAUUAAUGUAUAAGACCAUGACUUAUUAUCAGUGAUAUAUAGAGUUGUUAGCACAUUUUGUGUACCUAUUGGUGUAUAGCAAUAUAUACCAUUGUUAUCAAUAUAUAUAUAUAUAUANNNNNNNNNNNNNNNNNNNNNNNNNNNNNNNNNNNNNNNNNNNNNNNNNNNNNNNNNNNNNNNNNNNNNNNNNNNNNNNNNNNNNNNNNNNNNNNNNNNNNNNNNNNNNNNNNNNNNNNNNNNNNNNNNNNNNNNNNNNNNNNNNNNNNNNNNNNNNNNNNNNNNNNNNNNNNNNNNNNNNNNNNNNNNNNNNNNNNNNNNNNNNNNNNNNNNNCAUACAUAUACAUAUAAUACACACACACACAUAGAUACACAUAUAUAUAUAUGUACUACACAGAUAUAUAUAUAUAUAUACUACACAUAUGCGUGUUGUAUAUGGACUGAUGUGUGUAUAUGUAUGAUAUGUUUGUUGUAAUAACUGUAUCAUUGAAAAUAAGUAUAGACAUAAUCUUAUAAUUUAGUGUUUAUAUAACACUUUAUACAAAUGCAUAUGACUGUGCGUUGAUAUGUACAUCUACGCUAAUAAUUGUAUAAAUAUGUACAUAUAUGUUAAUAACUGUAUAAACUUAUCUAGAAAUGUAUGUAUGAACUUAUCAUUGCGUAAGGAUGCACAUGCGUACGCAUAUCGACGUAUAUAUAACUGAUAGCAAGUGUAAACACACGUAUAAACAUCAUUAUACAUAAAUCAGUGUACAUAUACACAUUAAUAGCUGUAUAAACAUCAUUAGUGUAUCUAUAUAUGGUCAUAUAUGUCAAUGUAUAUAUAAAUGUAUAUAUUAGUGCAUUAUAGAGAUACAGUUCUGUACUUUACACACACACAUGAAUAUAUUUUUUAAACACUAAUAACUGUAUAUAUAGCGGAUAAAACGUGUCUAUAUGGUCGUAUUUAUCAAUCAGUUUAUAUAGAAAUGUACGUAUGCACUAUCAGUGCAUAAGGGUGCAUGUGUGUGUGCAUAUCAGUGUAUAUGUAACUGAUAGUAAGUUUAUACGUACACACAUAAACAUAUCAGUAUAUAUGUAUCUUAUAUAUAUAUGCUAUAUAUAUCUAUAUAAACUACUAAUAAAUGUCUUUAUGGUCAUAUAUAUUAAUGUAGAUAGAAUGCAUGUAUUAGUGUACACAUACAAGACAUUAGUUAUCUGCUAUAUAUAGAGGGUUAUUAGUGUGUAAAAAAUACAUUGAUGUGUGUGUGAUGUCUGUUUAUAUACGAUGUGUAUAUACUGAUAUGUAUGUAUAAAGUGCAUAAUUGUCUAUAUACAGUGCACUAAUAUAUACAUUUUUAUGGAUAUUUAUGUAUAUGGCUAUAUAUACACUUACUAUCAUUUUAUACAGUUAUUAACGUAUAUGUACACUGAUUUAUAUACUACUCACACAUAUUCAGACUCAAACUCACACACACACACACAUACACGCUCACUCACACACACACACACUCUCACUCUCACUCACUCACUCACGCACACACACUCACACGCACACUCGCACUCGUAGUCGCACUCACACUCACACUCACACUCACAGAUAUAUAUACUACACAUAUAUGCGUAUUGUGUAUGGAUUGAUGUGUGCAUAUAUACGAUAUGUAUAUAUUGAUAUGUUUGUGCUUGUAUGUAUACUUUUGCUUGCAGUUUUUGUAUAAACUGGUAUAUGUACACUGAUAUUUAUAUAUGCACACUCAUAUGUACGUGUAUAAAGGGUUUAUAUAUACACUAAUGUAUAAGACCAUGUAUUAUUAUUAUCAGUGAUAUGUACAAUUAUUAGAACAAUUUGUGUACGUAUGGAUGUAUAGCAAUAUAUAUCAUUAUUUUUAGUGUAUAUACAGCUAUUUAUGUGUAAAAAAUACAUUGAUAUGUGUGUGUGUGAUGUUUGUAUAUAUUCGAUGUGUGUAUACUGAUAUGUGUAUGUGUAAAGUGCAUAACUGUAUCUAUACAAUGCGCUAAAAUAUAUAUUUCUGUAUAUAUUGAUGUAUCAGUUCAUACAGUUAUUAACGUAUAUGUACAUUAAUUUAUAUACUACACACAUACUCACUCACACUUACACUCACACUCACCACUCACACUCAUACACACACACAUACACACACACUCACACUCACACUCACACUUACACUCGUACGCACUCACAGAUAUAUAUACUACACAUGUUUACGUGUUGUGUAUGGACUGUAUGUGCAUAUAUACAAUGUGUUUAUACUGAUAUGUUUAUGCGAGUAUAUAUACAAUUGCUUGCUAUCAGUUUUAUACAAUUAUCAAUGUAUAUAUACACAAAUAUGCACAUGCACAUGCACCGUUAUGCGUUGAUAAGUGCAUAUAUAUUGUGUAUGUGUAUAUUAAUACAUGCAUUCUAUAUAUAUUAUUAAUAGUUUAUAUAUAUAUAUAUAUAUAUAUGCAGUGUGUCUAUAUAAGAUAUGCAUGUACUUAUAUGUUUAUUAUGUAUACACUUGCUAUCUAUAAACACUGAUAUGUGCAUGCACAUGCACCUUUACGCAUUGAUAUUGCGUACAUACAUUCUAUAUAUAUUGAUAUAUAUUACUAUAUAGACACUUAUUAUCAGUCUAUAUAGUUAUUAGCGAAUAUUAUCAGUUUAUACAGUUUAUGCCUUUAUUGGCGUAUACGUACACUGAUUUUUAUACUACACACAUGCACGCACUCACACUCACGCUCACGCUCACACUCACGCUCUUGCUCACGCUCACGCUCACGCUCACGCUCACGCUCACGCUCACACUCACACACACACACAUUCGCACUCACACAUACACUCACACUCACACUCAUUCACAAUCACACUGACACUCACAAGUAUAUGUACUAUCACCUUUAAUCUGAUAUGCCUCGCGAAAUUCCAUAUUACUUUGUAUAAAAUUAGGCAUAAGAAUGGGUUUCUUCUCUUGAUGAAUUGGGUAGGCUAAAUACCCAAUUGUGAUAAUCCAUGUUAAUUUUUUAUCUUAUUUGUGCUAUUUUUUAUUAUUAUUGUUGAGAUUCAUCUUCAUCUAGUUUUCUUGUUAAUCAACAAGCCUGAAAGCAACUAUUAUCUAGGCGGAUCUCCUUUCGUCAUUCGAUAUUUGAGAUCUUGAUCUUGCUAGCUUGAUUUGCUUAAUGGUUCUUUCUUCUCUAGUGUAGUACUGCUCUUGCUUCUUUCAUGCAAAUAAGGAGUUUUUUUUUUUAUGAGCUUUACUUGUAGUUUGCAAUUUUAUUAUAUAAUUUUUUCUUAACACACACACUCUUGCUUCUUUCAUGCAAAUUUGGAUUGAAUUUUCUGAAUCUUUACUUGUGGCUUACAAUUUUAUUAUGUAUAAAAAUGGCCAUAUAUACAUUUAUUUUCAAUUUAUACAUGUACUAACGUAUAUGUACACUGAUCUAUAUACAUUGAUGUAAAUGGCCAUAUAUACACUUAUUUUCAAUUUAUACAUGUAUUAACGUAUAUGUACAUUGAUCUAUAUACAUUGAUGUAAAUGACUAUAUAAACACUUAUUUUCACUUUAUACAUGUAUUAACGUAUAUGUACACUAAUUUAUAUACUACACACACACUUACACUCACACUCACAAUCACAAACAUAAACACAAACACAGUCACAAACAAAUACACUAAUAUGCUCUCGUACAUGCACCUUUACGCUUUGAUAGCGCAUAUAGACACUUUUUCUCAGUUUUUACAGUUAUUAGCGUAUAUGUACAUCGAUAUGUAUAUGAAUGCACAGGUGGCUGUUGCAGCCAGAAAGGUGAAUUAACCUAUCCCCCUUGCUAAUUUUUUAUUAUUUUCCUCUCAAUUCUUUCUAUUCGAAUCAUUAUCUUCCCUUUGAAUGACUUUUCCUUGCAUAUACAAUUUUUCAAAUUGUGAUAAAAUUGGGCAUUAAAGCUGGAGAUUAUUUCAUCUAGCCAGUAUUUCAAAAAGCGCUAGGUGGUUCCUAGGCUGCCUGGGGAGUCCAGGACGCCCAGCGCCUAGGAGGGGGCGCCCAGAACCUAGGCGGCCCAGUCAAAUCCAACAAGGAUGCCCAGUCAAAGAUGCUUUUAAGGACUCAAAACUUAAAUCUAAUAUCAAUGGGUGAUGUUUUGAUCAAUUUUUGUCAACUUAAAAAAAUAAGAAAUUUCCACCUCUGGACGGGCACCCGCUUAGGUGGGUUCCAUAUCGCCUAAGUGGGGAGCAGGCCUUGGGCUGAGCGUUGGGUGCCUGCCUAGGCGCUAAGCGGUCCGCUUUUUGAAUCACUGCUUCUGGCUAUCACCUAUAAUCAGAUAUGCUGAGGCGUAAUUCCAUACUACUAUGUGUAGAAUUAGGCAUAAGAAUAGUUUCUUCUCUUGAUGAGUUGGGUAUGCUAAAUACCCAAUUGUGAUAAUCCAUCUAAUUUUUUUUAUCUUAUUUGUGCUUGUUCUUAUUAUUAUUGAUGAGCUUCAUCUUCAUCGAGUUUGCUUGUAAUCAACAAGCAUGAAAGAAACUUAUCAUCGACACGGAUCUCUUUACCUUGUAGAUACUUAUUAGUAGUUUAUAUAUAAUAUAUACAGUAUGUAUAUAUACGAUAUGUAUAUAUUGAUAUGUUUAUGCGUGUAUAUAUAAACUUGCUAGCAGUUAUAUGUACACUGAUAUAUGCAUGCAGAUACACCUUUUCGCGUUGAUAGUUUACAGAUAUAUUUCUAUUUACAUUGAUAUAUAUGACCAUAUAGACACGUAUUAUCACUUUAUGCAGUUAGUAGCGUAUAUGUACACUGAUAUGUCAUAUGUCUAUAUAUAAAUAGGUUAGAUAUACACUAAUGUAUAAGACCAUUUAUUAUAUGGUCCGUGAUGCAUGACUCUAAAAUGCCUAUAACUAGGUCCACAACAUAUGACCUAAAGCAUCAUCACAUACUUCAUGUAUGACUAUAAACUACAGUGCUCCUUAGAGUCUUAUGACUCCAAGUAUUGUCCACCGUACGCAUUUUAAGGAUGUGGAAGGGUUUCAUAUAGUCCUUCCUGUAUGACUAUAAACGACAGUACUCCUUAGAGUCUUAUGACCAAGCAUUAGCUACCCAUACCUUUUAUAUGGGUGUGGAAGGCUUUUAUAUACAGUCCUUUCUAUAUCCCUAUAAACUAUAGAAAAUCUUAGUGUCUUACGACACCAAGCAUCGACUUACUCUUUUGUCGUAGGGAAGGCUUCAACACAACUCUCUCCCUAUUCCUUUCCAGAGCACUAAUUGGGGUGUAUUUUUUUUAAAUAUGAGGACGCUGCGAAAAUACCUUUGAAUUUCAUAGGGCAAUGGACGCUACCAAACCAAGAGAUAGGAUGCUUGAAAAAAAACUAUAUAUGUGUAUUUGCGAUGUCGAAGGAAAGAAAAGCAUAAGCAAGUUUAUACAUGCCACCAAGAGUUAAAAUAUAUACACAAAACCACAAAGCCGUUUGUCUUCUCAAAAGAAAAAGAAAAUAAAAAGUAGAGGAAAAGUGCAUCAAGCACCCUUAAAGCACCUAUGCCAGCACCUUUUCCUCCAUUUGCUUUCUAGAAGUCCCAUGGUUUUCCUUUGCUUCGUUAAGACUAUUUAAGGAUUCCUUGAAAUUUUUGGCGACAUUAUUCGCACGCUGCACAACUGUGAGUCAUUAAGAUUAACCAUGUAAGCCUCCUGGUCAUGGAGCUCCCUCUUCUGAGCCUCAAGAAAGGUUUUUGCCCAUGCAAUAUUCUCCAACAUAAUCUGUUGGUGAACCUGCGCCGUUACAGAUUGAGCCUUAAGUUCUUCAACCCUAGCUUUAACUACUUAAAAGUCUUAAUCAGCUUCUAGGAUAUCACAUCGAUGAUUUUCAACUGCCACUUCCCCUGAGGAGAUGACGUCAGGGAACACAGUAACCAAAGCCUCUUGAGCGAAAGCAACUUCCUUAGGCAUCUUGAACAAUCUUGUUCAUCGGUCACGAAUACUCGAACAAUUCUCGAAUACUUCAUCGUGAAUUGAACCAAGGCCUCUGGAAAAGCAGGGACAAUGACCAAAUCCGUUUCAGGGUUAAUGGCCUGCACCUCAGGAACAUUGACCUCGACCAAUGGAGGAGGAACAACAUCAGUCUCAUUGGAAUCGGGAGCAUUGGCUGUAGAAAUGUUGGCCUCGGCUAUUAAAAGAGGUUGGGCAUUGACUUCACUUGGCUCAGUAGAGGGAGGAGUAGCAACCAAGACUUCUGCUUCAGUGAUAAGAAUCUCAGCAGAAAUAGUAGAUGGUGUCUCGACACCAAUGCUGGUAAGCAUGGGCUCAGGAGUAUCCUCCGGGGGAAUGAACAAAGAAGUCCUUGUAGAAAGCCUAAAAGUUAGAAAUGAAAAUAGUCAUGUAAAGAAGUAUUGCAGCACGAUGGUUCAAUCAAAUACCUGAGGAGCUGGCUUCGUCCAUGCGAAGUAUAUAAAUUGGGAAUGGCAGACUUACAUAAGAAGGAGAGCUCAGGUUGUGGAGGUUGGAUGAAAGCAAAAUAUUUGUUAUUGCCACAAUACUGACAGACACGUCAACCUGAGACAAGCCUUCUCUAUAACGCUGGGGAGAAACACCACUAUUAGACAUCAUGAUCAUAAGGCAUGGGGAUAUCCUCAACCAUAUGGGCCAUUCCUAUGAUUAUUGCCACAAUACUGACAGACACUUCCACCUGAGACAAGCCUUCUCUAUAACGCUGGGGAGAAACACCACUAUUAGACAUCAUGAUCAUACGGCAUAGGGAUAUCCCCAACCAUAGGGGCCAUUCCUUUGAUUUUCCUUAACUACUCCUUAGUGGGAGGCUCGAUCUUUGUAAUACCCAUGUGGCUCUCACUUGGGGCAUGGCUGAAAGAAGAACCUUCAUCAUGCUUGGGCAAGCCAGGAAUACCUUUUAGCGCAUCUGUUAUUUCUUCGUCACUAUCAAAAGAAGUUGCUUGCUUGGUUCAUCAAAGACAAAGAAAAUCCGUCUCCUUGUGGUUCUGUCCCAUGAACUGGAGAAGAUGGUGCCAUAGGAGAUGGAGAAUGGGUGUCCAGCUCAAUCGUCUCAAUCCUCUUCUUCUUAGCUAUGCUUUUUUAGCAUAGGAAAGGAGAAGGACUCAACUUCUUUGGUGGUAUAUCCUUCUUACUCCUCUUCGGAGGAAUGGACAUUGGAUCACUGACUGCAUGAACAUGAGCCUUUGAGAUGUUCGUUAAUUGAGAGCUCCGUGUUCUACCCUCAGAAACCAAUUUGGUAGCUAGUUCUUUGAGAGAUGACUCUGAAGGCGAGAUGCUACUUAAUUUCUUUUUCCCUUACCCUUUGGAUCGGCUUCAUGAUGUUCCGAUUUGAUACCUGGAGCAUUUGAUUCCUUGUAAGGAACCUUUGAAGCUGAAGGACUUUGAGCCUUCCUUUACCUUUAGCCGGUGGCUCAGUCUCUGGAUGUGCAGAACUUAUGGCUAGGUUCUUCGGCUCUCUUUCUUAAAGGAGACGGAGUCCUAGCUUUUCUUUUAACUUUGGAUUUUCCUUUGGGAGUAGAAACUUUAGGAUGUUUAAUGGAUUUGGCAUGCCUGGGGUCAAGCACCGUUUUGUUGUUUCAAACGAGAGGGUGUGAAAUCUCUCUUUGAACCCCUAGCUAGUUGGCAAACAAUUUGGCUAAGUGAUGAUAGAAGGAAUCCCUGCCUUCAUCCAUUUGUUCCACUAUGGUGUUCCAGUCAAAAGGAAAACUCAUUCCACUGUCCAGUAGCUUGAGCCAUCAGCGAUGUGACUCUUAAAAUUGGUUACUAUCUUCCCAUCAAGCCGAAACAUGGGCAUGUUCUGCACCGAUUGAACAUAAUGGCCUCUUUGUGACCCGUGGUACCAAUAUUUUCCAUAAUGGGGAACAAUGAACUUGCACACAUGGUUAAUCGUGGUGCAAGAAUCCCACACAGUCUUCACACUAUUCUAGUGCCAAUUUCCUUGUAAAUGAUAAGGGACAGUGCUAGUUCAUCCUCUGCUGCCAUAUGCAUUGGUGAGGACUGUAUAAUUCGAUCAUCUUCUUGAUGCCAACUCGGUGGGAGUGUGGCACCAUGAACACUUUGGAGAUACAUUAUCUCCCGAUUGCUGGUUGGGUCAUUGUCAACCUGAAAUCCAUACUCGUCUUUGAAAAGACGGUCAGUUGGGCCCCCAAUGGGAAAGGGCUUGCCCUGAAAAAAAGUUUCACCUUGGAAAAGCUUCCUCGCAUUAUUAUCGGAUUGGAAAACAACCUUGUGUCCCAACAAGUGCAGCAAAAAUUGGAAGGUACUGCAAUCGAUGUCGCUUGCUAGAUGAUAGGUGCUUGGAAGUAGGCACCCAGCCACCUAUAAACAUAAUGGAGAGCGAAAAACCAUGCAGGAAUGUCCCAAACUCUUUGAAGUGUUAGUCGCCACAUUGAGCCCAUUAUAGAUACUGCAUAAGACGGGUUGGGCUUAUGGCCUCGGCCAAAUCACAAGCCAUAUAAAGGUACUCGGUCUUAAUUUCAUGACCCAAUAUAGGACGUCAAGUAGAUGGUAUCAAUCAGGUCAGUGGGACGGGGAGGCAUCUCUACCUUAAGGACUGGGGGCUUGUUACUUGAAGUUAAAAUAGGGUUGCCUGGUUCCCCUAUAGCCCUGUCUGAAUCGAAGAAAUGGGUGAUCCACACUUGGAAGCUAACUUUAGGGCCUCCUUAAAGAGAUGCCAGCUUCCGAAACUCCUUGAAUGGCCUUCUCAAGGCUGUUGGCUUUCGAAGGCCGGGAUAAACUUUAUCCUCAAGUAUGAUGUCAUUAUCUAGGUUAAACUCCUCAUAACGAUCUCCAAGAAGGGAAAGAUCGUCAAUGAAAUGAAGAUCCAAGAGAGACAUGACGGCCUCCCCAUGGUCAAAGAAGUUGGUUUUUUUUGCGCAACACCAGGUCUCCAAGUAUGCCCUCACCACGUUAGUGUAACGAUCAUAUGUCUAGGUCAAACAUUCGCAGGCGCCUAAGAGUUCUGUGCUUAUGAGAUCAUUUUAGAAGCUGCUCUCUCCCUCACAUCUAAACUUUAGGGAUCCUGUCGGACAGUACGCUUGGCAAUUUGAUGUGCAAGUAUAGGAAAUAUUCUAUUUCCAACGACAAUUUUAUGCGCAUAAUGGAGAAGGAGGCUUUAUGGAGGAAGACCCCGAUGAUAAUCCUUGCUAAACUUGCCAAGGCCAAGAGGCUCGAUCAAAUAAUUGAUGGAAAGGGGCCAUCUUAGAUAUUCAUUGACAUUGCCGUCAGCUUGGCAUACGGGUCUAUGACGAGCUAAUUCAACCCCGGUGCACUUUUCUCACCAAUCCUCUACGCCUUCAGGAAUUUCUUGGGACACAUGACAACUAAAAUAGGAGAAAAGAGUUUCAUUUAAUCGGAAAUUAUCUGCAUAUCCUUCAUAUUGGUCUAAGGCUCUAAUCAACUACCGAUGCCUGUCAUGGCUUAAGUCGAAAGUCUGACCUUAUAUUUCUCAUAUAUUGGGUUAAGACUUUGACCGAUCAUUGAUGUUUGUCACAGUGACACUCACACACACACACACACGCUCACACACAUAUACUCACACUCACAUUCACACGCACACACACUCACACUCACACUCACACUCACACUCACACUCACAGAUACAUAAACUAUCACCUCUAUCUGACAAGUCUAGACAAAAUUCCAUAUUACUAUGUAUAGAAUUAGGCACAAGAUUGUGUUUCUUCUCUUGAUGAGUUUGGGUAUGCUGAAUACCCAACUGUGAUAGUCCAUGUAAUUUUUUUUCUUAUUUGUACUUGUUUUUAUUAAUAUUGAUGAGCUUCAUUUUCAUCGAGUUUUCUUGUAAAUCAACAAGCAUGAAAGCAACUUAUCAUCGAGCCGGAUCUCUUUACGUUAUUUGAUAUUUGAGAUCUUGAUCUUGCAAGCUUGAUUUGCUUAAUGGUUCUUUCUUCUCUAGUUUAUUUCUGCUUGUAGUUUGCAAUUUUAUUAAGUAACUUUUUCUUAACACACACACUCUCGCUUCUUUCAUGCAAAUAUAGAGUGAAUUUUCUGGGGCUUUACUUGUGAUUUUCUGUUUUAUUAAGUAACUUUUUCUUAACACACACACUCUUGCUUCUUUCAUGCAAAUAUGGAGUGAAUUUUCUGGAGCUUUACUUGUGGUUUGCAAUUUUAUUAUGCAACUUUUUCUUAACACACACACACACACUUGCACACCAAACACACACUCACACUCAUACUCACACUCACGCUAAUGCAUAAGGAUGGGUUUAUAUAUACACUAAUGUAUAAGACCAUGUAUAUACUUUUUAUCAAUGAUAUAUACAAUUAUUAGCUCAAUUUGUGUACGUAUUUAUGUAUAGCAAUAUAUACCACCGUUUUCCGAGUGUAUAUAUAUAUACUGAUGCAUAUAACCAUACAAUACAUUAGUUAUCCGCUAUUUAUACAAUUAGUGUGUAAAACUACAUUUAUAUGUGUGUGUGUGUGAUGUUUAUACGAUGUGUAUAUACGGAUUUGUGUAUAUGUAAAGUACAUAAUUGUAUAUAUAUGGUGCAUUAAUAUAUACAUUUCUAUAUAUAUUGAUGUAUAUGACUAUAUAUACACUUAUUAUCGGUUUUUACAUUUAUUAACGCAUAUGUACAUUGAUUUAUAUACUACACACACACACAUGCACUCACACUCAUGCAUUCACACUCACACUCCCACUCACACUCACACUCACACUCUCACUCACACUCACACACUCAUACUCACACUCACACUCACACUCACACUCACAUACUCACAUCACACUCACACUCACACUCACACGCACAUAUACGCACACACACACACACACUCGCACUCACACUCACACUCACACUCACACUCACACUCACACUCACUCACACUAACACUCACGGUUAUAUAUAGUAUCACCUCUAAUCUGAUAAGCUUAUGCAAAAUUCCAUUAUUCUUUGUGUAGAAUUAGACAUAAGAAUGGGUAUGCUAAAUUCCCAAUUGUGAUAGUCGAUGUUAAUUUUUUUUCUUAUGUGUACUUGUUCUUUUUAAUAUUGAUGAGCUUCAUCUUCAUUGAGUUUUCUUGUAGAUCAACAAGCAUGAAAGCGACUUACGCAGAUCUGUUUACGUUAUUCGAUAUUUGAGAUCUUGAUCUAGCAAGCUUGAUUUUCUGAAUAGUUCUUUCUUUUCUAGUAUAGUGCUGCUUUCUUCUUUCAUGCAAAUACAGAGUGAAUUUUUUGGUGCUUUACUUGUGGUUUGCAAUUUUAUUAAGUAACUUUUUCUUAACACACAACUCUCUUCUUUUAUAACUUUUUCUAAACACACACACACACACACCACACACACACACACCACACACACACACUCACACUCACACUCGCACUAAUGUAUAAGUAUGGGUUUGUAUAUACACUACUGUAUAAGACCCUGUAUAUAUACCUAUUAUCAGUGAUAUAUACAAUUUCUUUUCUUGAUGAAUUGGGUAUGCUAAAUUCCCAAUUGUGAUAGUCAAUGUUAAUUUUUUUUCUUAUGUGUACUUGUUCUUAUUAAUAUUGAUGAGCUUCAUCUUCAUCAAGUUUUCUUGUAAAUUAACAAGCAUGAAAGCAACUUAUCAUCGAGGCGGAUCUCUUUACGUUAUUCGAUAUUUUAGAUCUUGAUCUUGAUCUUGCAUGGUUGAUUUCCUUAAUGAUUAUUUCUUCUCUAGUAUGGUAUUGCUCUUUCUUCUUUCAUGCAAAUACGGAAUGAAUUUUAUAGAGCUUUAUUUGUGGUUUGCAAUUUUAUUAAGUAAUGUUUUUUUAACACACAUAAUCUCUUGCUUCUUUCAUUCAACUAUGGAGUGAAUUUUUUGGAGCUUUACUUGUGGUUUACAAUUUUAUUUACUUUUUCUUAAGACACGCAGCCCGCACUCACACUCACACUCACACUCACACUCACACUCACACUCACACUCCCACUAAUGUAUAAGAAUGGGUUUGUAUAUACGCUUCUGUAUAAGACCAUGUAUAUACAUAUUAUCAAUGAUAUCUACAGUUAUUAGCUCAAUUUGUGUAUGUAUUGAUGUAUAGCAGUACAUACCAUUGUUUUCAGAGUAUAUAUAUAUACUGAUGCAUAUAACCAUACAAUACAUUAGUUAUUAGCUAUAUAUACCGUUACUAGUGUGUAAAAAUACAUUGAUACUGUGUGUGUGUGUGAUGUCUGUAUAUAUACGAUGUGUAUACACGUAUUUGUGUGUCUGUGUAAAGUGUAUAACAGUAAAUUUUUAGUGCAUUACUAUAUACAUUUCUAUAUACAUUGAUGUAUACACUUAUUAUUAGUUUAUACAUUUAUUAAUGUAUAAUGUACACUGAUUUACACACACACACAUGCAUUCAUACUCACACUCACGCUCACACUCACACUUACACUCGCACUCACACACACUCACACUCACACUCACACUCACACUUACACUCACACUCACACUCAUACACACAUACACACACUCACAUUCACACUGAUAUCGUACACACAUGCACCUUUACGCAUUAAUAGUGCAUACAUACAUUUCUAUAUACACUGAUAUGUAGGACCAUAUAGAUACUUAUUAUCAGUUUAUACAGUUAUUAGUGUAUAUGUACAUUGAAAUGUACGUACAUACACUCAUAUACGUAUGUAUAAAGGGUUUAUAUUUACACUAAUGUAUUAGACCAUGUGUAUACUUAUUAUCAGUGAUAUAUACAGUUAUUAGCUCAAUUUGUAUAUAUAUUGCUGUAUAGCAAUAUAUACCAUUGUUUUCGGAGUAUAUAUAUACUGAUGUAUAUAACUAUAUAAUACAUUACUUAUUUGCUAUAUAUACAAAUUCUAGGGUGUAAAAAUACAUUGAUAUGUGUGUGUGUGUGUGAUGUCUAUAUCUAUACGAUGUGUAUAUACGGAUUUCUGUGUAUGUGUAAAGUGCAUUACUGUAUAUAUAGAAUGCAUUAAUAUAUACAUUUCUAUAUGCAUUGAUGUAUAUGACCAUCUAUAUACUUAUUAUCAGUUUAUACCUUUAUUAACGUAUAUGUACUCUGAUUUAUAUAUUACACACAUACACACGCUCUCAUACUCACACUCACACUCACACUCGCACUCACACACACUCACACUCGCACUCACACACACUCACACUCGCAUUCGCACUCACACUCACACUCACACUCCUCGCACUCACACUCACACUCAUGCUCACGCUCACACUCACACUCAUACUCACGCUCACGCUCACACUCACACUCACACUCACACUCAUGCAUAAUCACAAUGACACUCAUAAAUAUAUAUACUAUCAUCUCUAAUCUGAUAUGCCUCGACGAAAUUCCAUAUUAUUUUGUAUAGAAUUAAGCAUAUGAAUGGGGUUUUUCUCUUGAUGAAUUGGGUAUGCUAAAUACGCAAUUGUGAUAAUUCAUGUUAAUUUUUAAUCUUAUUUGUACUUGUUGUUAUUAUUAUUGAUGAGCUUCAUCUUCAUCGAGUUUUCUUGUAAAUCCACAAGCCUGAUGCAUCUUAUCAUCAAGGCGGAUCUCCUUACGUUAUUCGAUAUUUGAUAUGUUCAUCUUGCUAGCUUGAUUUGCUUAAUGGUUCUUUCUUCUCUAGUAUAGUACUGCUCUUGCUUCUUUCUUGCAAAUAUGGGGUGAAUGUUCUGAUGGUUUACUUGUGGUUUGCAAUUUUAUUACGUAACUUUUUCUUAACACACACACAUAUGCACACCAAAUACACACACAUAUCCUCACACUCACAUUAGGGUAUUUGACCAUGCAUGUACUAAUUGUCAGCGAUAUAUACCGUUAUUAGCUCAAUUUGCGUAUGUAUUGAUGUAUAACAAUAUAUACCAUUGUUUUCAGAGUGUAUAUAUAUAUACU